UACGAAGGGGGCUAGCGUUGUUCGGAUUUACUGGGCGUAAAGCGCACGUAGGCGGUUCGUUAAGUCGGGGGUGAAAUCCUGGAGCUCAACUCCAGAACUGCCUUCGAUACUGGCGAUCUCGAGUCCGGAAGAGGUGAGUGGAACUCCUAGUGUAGAGGUGGAAUUCGUGGAUAUUAGGAAGAACACCAGUGGCGAAGGCGACUCACUGGUCCGGUACUGACGCUGAGGUGCGAAAGCGUGGGGAGCAAACAGG
RNAcentral lists this ribosomal RNA (253 nucleotides) under uncultured bacterium. RNAcentral describes it as "partial 16S ribosomal RNA". It matches the Rfam family "Bacterial small subunit ribosomal RNA", at positions 524 to 776 of the family's 1533-position model. The record is from RNAcentral.